Molecule: ribosomal RNA, 454 nt
Filed under: Streptococcus mitis
Lineage: Bacteria; Bacillati; Bacillota; Bacilli; Lactobacillales; Streptococcaceae
Description: bacterial SSU rRNA
Rfam family: Bacterial small subunit ribosomal RNA
Source: RNAcentral
GACGAACGCUGGCGGCGUGCCUAAUACAUGCAAGUAGAACGCUGAAGGAGGAGCUUGCUUCUCUGGAUGAGUUGCGAACGGGUGAGUAACGCGUAGGUAACCUGCCUGGUAGCGGGGGAUAACUAUUGGAAACGAUAGCUAAUACCGCAUAAGAGUAGAUGUUGCAUGACAUUUGCUUAAAAGGUGCAAUUGCAUCACUACCAGAUGGACCUGCGUUGUAUUAGCUAGUUGGUGAGGUAACGGCUCACCAAGGCAACGAUACAUAGCCGACCUGAGAGGGUGAUCGGCCACACUGGGACUGAGACACGGCCCAGACUCCUACGGGAGGCAGCAGUAGGGAAUCUUCGGCAAUGGACGGAAGUCUGACCGAGCAACGCCGCGUGAGUGAAGAAGGUUUUCGGAUCGUAAAGCUCUGUUGUAAGAGAAGAACGAGUGUGAGAGUGGAAAGUUCACG